CAGCUAUGCUGGAAAGAGUCAGACCUUAUCUGCACUUCUGCAGAUAAGGCUGUCCUAGGCUCCACACCUGGAAUAUAAGUAAAACUGCUUACUUACCAGGUUUUUCACCAAAAAAUAAAAGUUGCUAAGAGUUAACAUCGUAAUAUGUUAUAUGUAAUUGAGACUACUAGAGAAACAGUUUUAUAUGCAAGGUGUGUAAGGAAAAUUGAAUAUGCUUUUGGUAAGAAGAUUAUAAGAAAGCAUGGGAAUGUGGACUUUCCCCCUACUUUAGAGGGUUAAAGGAUUGUUUCAAGUUAGGUAGGAUAAAGCUGAAGGUUUGAGC
RNAcentral lists this long non-coding RNA (322 nucleotides) under Homo sapiens (human). RNAcentral describes it as "non-protein coding lnc-SSTR3-1:1". Lineage: Eukaryota; Metazoa; Chordata; Mammalia; Primates; Hominidae. The record is from RNAcentral.